Molecule: ribosomal RNA, 195 nt
Filed under: uncultured eukaryote
Lineage: Eukaryota
Description: partial 18S ribosomal RNA
Rfam family: Eukaryotic small subunit ribosomal RNA
Source: RNAcentral
CACAACCUGGUUGAUCCUGCCAGUAGUCAUAUGCUUGUCUCAAAGAUUAAGCCAUGCAUGUCUAAGUAUAAGCAAUUAUACAGCGAAACUGCGAAUGGCUCAUUAUAUAAGUUAUCGUUUAUUUGAUAGUACCUUACUACUUGGAUAACCGUGGUAAUUCUAGAGCUAAUACAUGCUAAAAAUCCCGACUUCGGA